CGGGGUGCACCAGGCGCGAAAACUUUACAAUGCUGGCAACAGCGAUAAGGGGACCUCGAGUGCCAGGAUACAAUCUUGGCUGUCGCGAUGCCUAAAAAGCAUUGCAUAGCAAGGGCCGGGCAAGACCGGUGCCAGCCGCCGCGGUAACACCGGCGGCUCGAGUGGUAACCGCUAUUAUUGGGUCUAAAGGGUCUGUAGCCGGCCGGAUAAGUCUUUUGGGAAAUCCAGCUGCUCAACAGUUGGGCUUUCAGAAGAUACUGUUCGGCUCGAGACCGGGAGAGGUGAGAGGUACUUCAGGGGUAGGGGUGAAAUCUUGUAAUCCUUGAAGGACCACCAGUGGCGAAGGCGUCUCACCAGAACGGAUCUGACGGCAAGGGACGAAAGCUAGGGGCACGAACCGGAUUAGAUACCCGGGUAGUCCUAGCCGUAAACGAUACUCGCUAGGUGUCAGCCACGGUGCGACCGUGGUUGGUGCCGUAGGGAAGCCGUGAAGCGAGCCACCUGGGAAGUACGGCCGCAAGGCUGAAACUUAAAGGAAUUGGCGGGGGAGCACAAGGGCGAAUUCGCGG
Molecule: ribosomal RNA, 569 nt
Filed under: uncultured archaeon
Lineage: Archaea
Description: bacterial SSU rRNA
Rfam family: Archaeal small subunit ribosomal RNA
Source: RNAcentral